This is a long non-coding RNA of Cataglyphis hispanica, 1010 nucleotides long. RefSeq lists it as uncharacterized. The transcript has 4 exons. NCBI's taxonomy places the organism in Eukaryota, Metazoa, Arthropoda, Insecta, Hymenoptera, Formicidae. The record is from RefSeq and is a predicted model, not a curated record.
CGCAUCGGUCGCAUUGCCCGAGUAACCGGACACGUGAAGUCGAUAACCAGUCUCUUCGGAAUCUACCGUGAAAUGCUCGUACUCGGCGUGCCAGUGCACGCCAUAGGUGUCGAUCAAAUCGACUCGUAAUCUGCUACAAUUGUCGCGGGUGCGAUCAAAAUCAAUCGCACCGUCGAUUCUACGAGCCACAACAAUCCAACCGGCGCGGCAGGAAGCUAAUAAAGGUGUUCCGGGACCAGGCGCUAACAAAGUCAAACCAUCGCGCUCUUCACAAUUGCCCGGAAGCGAAUCUACCAUGAGACGGCAGUCCUUAAUAACAUGGUGUGUGUACCUAUACAUAUAUAAUACACAUGCGUUUAUGGAAUGCGUGAGAGUAGGGCCACAGCUGUCGACUCGUAUGGCUAUGGUCGCCAGCGUGUGUCAAAUACCACAGACACUAAGAAAGUCGAAGCGCAAGGAGCGGAAAGUAUUUAAGAAGGAAUUGGGGGAGCCCGGGCCUGAGGGGCACAUAUAUGCAACCCAGAGGCCCGUUGUGCGGGCGGGGCAAGAGGAAGGGAAGAGGAGGUGGAGAAGCAGCUGCCAAACGGCAAAACGAGAAACAGGAAUCAAGCAGCUGGCCGCCUCGUGCAAAGCGCAGGUGCACCGAUCACGCCCCCCCCUUUCUUCUUCCUGCCGUAAAUACUAAAUGGUAGCAGCAGCCAUUAUCUACACGGACGCCCGUUGUUGGCGCGCGAGCGAGCACAUGCCGAGCCCUUCGGCCCUUCGAUGUGUGUGCAUACGUAUACGUGGUGGAUACGCUCGCCGUCACCACGAAAUCGAUCUCGAGACGUAAGCGAAAAAAAUCGGCUGUAGCCAUUGAGCGGCACGCGCGCAUCUAGGAAUCCCGUCGGAAUCGCCGAUGGCGCUAUCAAAGAUAUAUAUAUAUAUCAUAUACGCAUAUCCUUAUGUAAGAUAUUAUCUUGUAGUUUAUAUGCGUAUAAAAGAGAAAAUAAAAUUUGAUUUAUAGAUAA